AGGACGAUGGCGACGGCUUCCCGCCCGUGCUGCUGGAGCACGGGCCGCGCCGGUUCGUGACCGGCUCGCCCUC
RNAcentral lists this transfer RNA (73 nucleotides) under Arsenicicoccus piscis. Its description in RNAcentral is "tRNA-Gln". Lineage: Bacteria; Bacillati; Actinomycetota; Actinomycetes; Micrococcales; Intrasporangiaceae. The record is from RNAcentral.